AGUGAACGCUGGCGGCGUGCUUAACACAUGCAAGUCGAACGAGAACGGGUUAUAGCUUGCUAUAAUUGUCAGCUAAGUGGCGCACGGGUGAGUACUGUAUAGGUAAUAUGCCUCUUACUAAGGGAUAACAAAUGGAAACGUUUGCUAAUACCUUAUACUCCUUAUUAACAGAAGUUAAUAAGGGAAAGAUUUAUUGGUAAGAGAUUAGCCUGUAUUGUAUCAGUUAGUUGGUGGGGUAAUGGCUUACCAAGACUAUGACACAUAACUGGUUUGAGAGGAUGAUCAGUCACACUGGAACUGAGACACGGUCCAGACUCCUACAGGAGGCAGCAGUGGGGAAUAUUGCACAAUGGACGAAAGUCUGAUGCAGCAACGCCGCGUGGAGGAUGACACAUUUCGGUGCGUAAACUCCUUUUAUAUGAGAAGAUAAUGACGGUAUUAUAUGAAUAAGCACCGGCUAACUCCGUGCCAGCCGCCGCGGUAA
RNAcentral lists this ribosomal RNA (484 nucleotides) under uncultured bacterium. RNAcentral describes it as "partial 16S ribosomal RNA". It matches the Rfam family "Bacterial small subunit ribosomal RNA", at positions 29 to 523 of the family's 1533-position model. The record is from RNAcentral.